This 800-nucleotide ribosomal RNA is filed under the name uncultured archaeon. Its description in RNAcentral is "bacterial SSU rRNA". It matches the Rfam family "Archaeal small subunit ribosomal RNA", at positions 31 to 835 of the family's 1478-position model. The record is from RNAcentral.
AAACUGGGUAUCGCUAGCCAUGCGAGUCAAUGUUCUUCGUGAACAUGGCGUACUGCUCAGUAACACGUGGAUAACCUGCCCUUAGGACUGGCAUAACCCCGGGAAACUGGGGAUAAUUCCGGAUAGUUCAUGGUAGUUGGAAUGCUCCAUGAUCGAAAGCUAUUGCGCCUAAGGAUGGGUCUGCGGUCUAUCAGGUAGUAGUGGGUGUAAUGUACCUACUAGCCGACGACGGAUACGGGUUGUGGGAGCAAGAGCCCGGAGAUGGAUUCUGAGACAUGAAUCCAGGCCCUACGGGGCGCAGCAGGCGCGAAAACUUUACAAUGCGGGAAACCGCGAUAAGGGGACACCGAGUGCCAGCAUCUUAUGUUGGCUGUCCGCAUGUAUAAAUCACAUGUGUUAGCAAGGGCCGGGCAAGACCGGUGCCAGCCGCCGCGGUAACACCGGCGGCCCGAGUGGUGGCCACUAUUAUUGGGUCUAAAGGGUCCGUAGCCGGUUUGGUCAGUCUUCCGGGAAAUCUGACGGCUUAACCGUUAGGCUUUCGGGGGAUACUACCAGGCUUGGGACCGGGAGAGGUAAGAGGUACUACGGGGGUAGGAGUGAAACCUUGUAAUCCUCGUGGGACCACCAGUGGCGAAGGCGUCUUACCAGAACGGGUCCGACGGUGAGGGACGAAAGCUGGGGGCACGAACCGGAUUAGAUACCCGGGUAGUCCCAGCCGUAAACUAUGCUCGCUAGGUGUCAGGGACGGUGCGACCGUUUCUGGUGCCGCAGGGAAGCCGUGAAGCGAGCCACCUGGGAAG